GACGAACGCUGGCGGCGUGCUUAACACGUGCAAGUCGAACGGAAAGGCCCUGCUCUUGCGGCGUGCUCGAGUGGCGAACGGGGGAGUAACACGCGAGUAACCUGCCCUUGUCUUUGGGAUAACACCAGGAAACUGGGGCUAAUACCGGAUAGGAGCUCCUGCUGCAUGGUGGGGGUUGGUAAGUUUCGGCGGUUGGGGCUGGACUGGCGGCUUAUCCGCUUGUUGGUGGAGUAGUGGCUUACCAAGGCUUUGACGGGUAGCCGGCCUGAGAGGGUGACCGGCCACAAUGGGACUAAGAGACGGCGCAGACGCCUACGGGAGGCAGCAGGGGAGAAUAUGGCAGAAUGGGCGGAAGCCUGAGGCAGCAACGCCGCGUGCGGGAUGACGGGCUUCGGGGGGUAAACCGCUUUCGCCGGAGACGAAGCGGGAGUGACGGUAAUGGGUAAAGAAGCACCGGCUAACUACGUG
This 468-nucleotide ribosomal RNA is filed under the name uncultured bacterium. Its description in RNAcentral is "partial 16S ribosomal RNA". It matches the Rfam family "Bacterial small subunit ribosomal RNA", at positions 28 to 507 of the family's 1533-position model. The record is from RNAcentral.